GCCUCUUUGAGGAGAUAAUCUUGAAGCUGAUGUCUGAAUGUCAAGGAAGAAGCAAAUCUGCAAAUUUGAGGGGAAGAGCAUUUCAGGCAGAGAAACAGCUCUCAGGCACUAAGGUGCCUUUUGCCAUGAUUCUAAGUCUCCUGAGGCCUUCCCCAGCCCUGUGGAACUGAGGCAGACGAUCAUGGGUGGCCCAGAGACAAUGCAUCUUCUGUUUACCAACAAGCUCCCAGGAGCUUCUGG
RNAcentral lists this long non-coding RNA (240 nucleotides) under Callithrix jacchus (white-tufted-ear marmoset). RNAcentral describes it as "lncRNA (ENSCJAG00000078804.1)". Lineage: Eukaryota; Metazoa; Chordata; Mammalia; Primates; Cebidae. The record is from RNAcentral.